RNAcentral lists this ribosomal RNA (408 nucleotides) under uncultured bacterium. Its description in RNAcentral is "partial 16S ribosomal RNA". It matches the Rfam family "Bacterial small subunit ribosomal RNA", at positions 28 to 526 of the family's 1533-position model. The record is from RNAcentral.
GACGAACGCUGGCGGCGUGCUUAACACAUGCAAGUCGAACGGAGUGGCGAGCGGGUGAGUAACACGUGGGUGACCUGCCCUGCACUUCGGGCUAAGCCGGGGAAACUGGGUCUAAUACCGGAUAGUGUGGGAUGGGCCCGCGGCCUAUUAGCUUGUUGGUGGGGUAAUGACCGACCAAGGCGGCGACGGGUAGCCGGCCUGGGAGGGUAGACGGCCACAUGGGGACUGAGGCACGGCGCAGACUCCUACGGGAGGCAGCAGUGGGGAAUAUUGCACAAUGGGCGGAAGCCUGAUGCAGCGACGCCGCGUGGGGGAUGACGGCCUUCUGGUUGUAAACUCCUUUCACCAUCGACGCGGUAGAUGGAGAAGAAGCACCGGCUAACUACGUGCCAGCAGCCGCGGUAAUAC